RNAcentral lists this ribosomal RNA (252 nucleotides) under uncultured bacterium. Its description in RNAcentral is "partial 16S ribosomal RNA". It matches the Rfam family "Bacterial small subunit ribosomal RNA", at positions 524 to 775 of the family's 1533-position model. The record is from RNAcentral.
UACAGAGGGGGCAAGCGUUAUUCGGAAUUAUUGGGCGUAAAGGGCGCGUAGGCGGCCUUUCAAGUCUCUCGUGAAAUCCCUCGGCUUAACCGAGGACGUGCGGGAGAUACUGUCAGGCUUGAGUCCGGAAGAGGGUGGUGGAAUUCCCAGUGUAGCGGUGAAAUGCGUAGAUAUUGGGAGGAACACCGGUGGCGAAGGCGGCCACCUGGGCCGGAACUGACGCUGAGGCGCGAAAGCGUGGGUAGCAAACGG